RNAcentral lists this ribosomal RNA (253 nucleotides) under uncultured bacterium. RNAcentral describes it as "partial 16S ribosomal RNA". It matches the Rfam family "Bacterial small subunit ribosomal RNA", at positions 524 to 776 of the family's 1533-position model. The record is from RNAcentral.
UACGUAGGGCGCAAGCGUUGUCCGGAAUUAUUGGGCGUAAAGAGCUCGUAGGCGGCCUGUUGCGUCCGCUGUGAAAUCCCGGGGCUCAACCCCGGGCCUGCAGUGGAUACGGGCUGGCUAGAGGCAGGCAGGGGAGAACGGAAUUCCUGGUGUAGCGGUGAAAUGCGCAGAUAUCAGGAAGAACACCCGUGGCUAAGGCGGCUCUCUAGUACGGUACUGACGCUGAGACGCGAAAGCGUGGGGAGCGAACAGG